RNAcentral lists this ribosomal RNA (476 nucleotides) under uncultured bacterium. Its description in RNAcentral is "partial 16S ribosomal RNA". It matches the Rfam family "Bacterial small subunit ribosomal RNA", at positions 30 to 506 of the family's 1533-position model. The record is from RNAcentral.
AUUGAACGCUGGCGGCAUGCCUUACACAUGCAAGUCGAACGGUAACAGGUUAAGCUGACGAGUGGCGAACGGGUGAGUAAUGUAUCGGAACGUGCCCAGUCGUGGGGGAUAACUGCUCGAAAGAGCAGCUAAUACCGCAUACGACCUGAGGGUGAAAGCGGGGGAUCGCAAGACCUCGCGCGAUUGGAGCGGCCGAUAUCAGAUUAGGUAGUUGGUGAGGUAAAGGCUCACCAAGCCGACGAUCUGUAGCUGGUCUGAGAGGACGACCAGCCACACUGGGACUGAGACACGGCCCAGACUCCUACGGGAGGCAGCAGUGGGGAAUUUUGGACAAUGGGCGCAAGCCUGAUCCAGCCAUGCCGCGUGCGGGAAGAAGGCCUUCGGGUUGUAAACCGCUUUUGUCAGGGAAGAAAAGGUUCUGGCUAAUACCUGGGACUCAGGACGGUACCUGAAGAAUAAGCACCGGCGAACUACGU